AUACUUACCCAGAAGAAAAGACACCCUGAUCAAGAAGGUGCUUUUCCCAUGGUGAGGCUCAUCCCUUGCUGAACCCUGUAAUCUUCCCAAAUGCAAAAAUGACUGCACCAUUUGUGGUAAGGUGGGCUGUAUUCACUCUCUUC
Molecule: small nuclear RNA, 143 nt
Organism: Apteryx haastii (Great spotted kiwi)
Lineage: Eukaryota; Metazoa; Chordata; Aves; Apterygiformes; Apterygidae
Gene: U1
Rfam family: U1 spliceosomal RNA
About the family: U1 is a small nuclear RNA (snRNA) component of the spliceosome (involved in pre-mRNA splicing). Its 5' end forms complementary base pairs with the 5' splice junction, thus defining the 5' donor site of an intron. There are significant differences in sequence and secondary structure between metazoan and yeast U1 snRNAs, the latter being much longer (568 nucleotides as compared to 164 nucleotides in human).
Source: Ensembl